GUACAUAGGCUUAAACUGACGUUUUUCUGUGUCCCAAGCAAAUACACUGAUUAUGGGCUUUUCUCUCUCCCACGGGAACAUGACUGACACCACAUCUUUCUGAUACAUUAAUGUUUUGAUUCAGUUACCCCGGAGAGCAGCAAAAAAAAAAAAUUGCUUUUAGUCCUUACCUUGAUGGUACUUGAUGGAUAGCUGUAGGUCUCUGCUGAGGAGAGAGGAAGAAAACACGUGAUUGUCAUGCUUUGGUGCAGCGACAUGAGACAAGGAUUUUCGGCAGCACAGGACUUAGCUACAGACGGAGCACAGGCUGUGCAAAAGCAUGAGCUCACGUGGCAUUAGCUGGGGAAAGAGCUGAAUCUCUGAGGGCUAAAUAAAUCCGGUGAUUUAUCUUCUCUCUAGUUCAACACACACUUGUGUCAUGCAGUAGUGCUCAACGACCUCAAGAAAACCUAGAUUUGCAGCCUUAUUGGGGGAAAAAUGUAGCAGCCUGAAUCGAAACCAGGACCUCCUGAUUCACAUGAACACAUGUGAUCCUGGCUAUCAUCUACAAGGAAGAAAUAAAAUAGAAGAACCAGAAAUACUAUUUGCAGGGUCGGUGGUCUGGGGAAUGAGCAAGUUUUUGUUCACACAUUCUAAUUGUGGUACAUUGCUGGAAAAGAAAAACAAAUCUCUGUAAGACUUUAGGUGUCUGCAACAAUUUCAUCAAAACUCAGAGGUAAGAAGGGUUGGGCACUUAACAGGACAGUUUGACAGCAUGUGCUGUCCCCUGGGAACAUGUCGUUUUGCAGAUAGAUGUAUACCACCACAAGCUAGGUCUCAGCUUAUUAGCCACCUCCUUUUCUUCUC
RNAcentral lists this long non-coding RNA (846 nucleotides) under Manacus vitellinus (golden-collared manakin). RNAcentral's name for it is "lncRNA (ENSMVIG00005001017.1)". Lineage: Eukaryota; Metazoa; Chordata; Aves; Passeriformes; Pipridae. The record is from RNAcentral.